GAGGAAAAGAAACUAACAAGGAUUCCCCUAGUAACGGCGAGUGAAGCGGGAAGAGCUCAAAUUUGUAAUCUGGCACUUUCAGUGUCCGAGUUGUAAUCUCGAGAAGUAUUUUCCGCGCCGGACCGCAUACAAGUCUGUUGGAAUACAGCGUCAUAGUGGUGAGAACCCCGUAACUGAUGCGGAUGCCCGGUGCUUUGUGAUAUACUUUCGAAGAGUCGAGUUGUUUGGGAAUGCAGCUCAAAUUGGGUGGUAAAUUCCAUCUAAAGCUAAAUAUUGGAGCAAGACCGAUAGCGAACAAGUACCGUGAGGGAAAGAUGAAAAGCACUUUGGAAAGAGAGUUAACAGUACGUGAAAUUGUUGGAAGGGAAACGCUUGAAGUCAGACUUGCUAUUCGGAGUUCAGCCGCAAGGUGUAUUCUUCGAUUUGCAGGCCAGCAUCAGUUUUUGGGGGUGGAAAAUCGUGGUUUGAAGGUAGCAGUUUCGGCUGUGUUAUAGCUUUCCACUGGAUUCAUCUUCGGGGACUGAGGAACGCAGUACGCUUUUUGCAAGGCUUUCGAGCUUUUCGUACUUAGGAUGCUGGUGGAAUGGCUUUAAACGACC
Molecule: ribosomal RNA, 599 nt
Filed under: Basidiomycota sp. 4 HFP-2013
Lineage: Eukaryota; Fungi; Basidiomycota
Description: eukaryotic LSU rRNA
Rfam family: Eukaryotic large subunit ribosomal RNA
Source: RNAcentral